UGCACCGGGGAUUAGUGGCGAACGGGUGAGUAACACGUGAGUAACCUGCCCUUAACUCUGGGAUAAGCCUGGGAAACUGGGUCUAAUACCGGAUAUGACUCCUCAUCGCAUGGUGGGGGGUGGAAAGCUUUAUUGUGGUUUUGGAUGGACUCGCGGCCUAUCAGCUUGUUGGUGAGGUAAUGGCUCACCAAGGCGACGACGGGUAGCCGGCCUGAGAGGGUGACCGGCCACACUGGGACUGAGACACGGCCCAGACUCCUACGGGAGGCAGCAGUGGGGAAUAUUGCACAAUGGGCGAAAGCCUGAUGCAGCGACGCCGCGUGAGGGAUGACGGCCUUCGGGUUGUAAACCUCUUUCAGUAGGGAAGAAGCGAAAGUGACGGUACCUGCAGAAGAAGCGCCGGCUAACU
Molecule: ribosomal RNA, 409 nt
Filed under: Micrococcineae bacterium CL5.130
Lineage: Bacteria; Bacillati; Actinomycetota; Actinomycetes; Micrococcales
Description: bacterial SSU rRNA
Rfam family: Bacterial small subunit ribosomal RNA
Source: RNAcentral